This is a long non-coding RNA of Solanum stenotomum, 683 nucleotides long. RefSeq lists it as uncharacterized. The transcript is spliced from 4 exons. The record is from RefSeq and is a predicted model, not a curated record. Lineage: Eukaryota; Viridiplantae; Streptophyta; Magnoliopsida; Solanales; Solanaceae.
AGAACAAAACUAAAUGAAAUUGGGAAAUUCCAGCCGCCAUUCUUCAGAACUUCAUCUAGCAGAAGAACCAUGGAGGACAACGGAAGACGUGGAGUCGAUUCCCUUCAGGCUACUAGAGCUGACAACGUAGGUGCCAGUGAGUCUUGAUUGUUUUACAAGGGCAUUCAAACCUCUCACAAAUGCCAUAAAUCAAUCAAAUAAAGGCUUCUUCAACUCCUAGCACUACAAGUCCUAUCUUGCACAACCAUGGUUGAGCUCAGCUUGGAGCUAAUACCACUGUCUAAGCCAGAAGAAUCCAUAGAUCCAUUUAUUAACUAAUCGAGUUUCUAUCAAGGUUGUCGUUCAUUGGGGUCUCUAUAAGCAAUAUCUUCCAUCAUUAGGAUACCUGGACUUGUACCUUCUUGCAGACCCUGGAAAUCUCUUGUGCAUGAGGUAUCAAUCUGCAAAGGUGUACUUUGUGAAUCCUCCCCAUUGCUCAUCCCCUCUUGGAUUACUUCAUGGCUACUGUUAUGAUUGUCUUUCUCUACCCCUUUGUUCCUCCAAUUGGUUUUUCCCGGAGUUUCUGUGUGUGCUUGUGGCAUAUCUGUAUUAUUUUUGUUGUAGCUCACCUUAAUAUAUUGAGGGUUUUCCCUCCCCAUGAGGGCAUUUGUUGUUAUAUUCUCCACUGGUAAUUUCUUAUCUAU